GACGAACGCUGGCGGCGUGCCUAAUACAUGCAAGUAGAACGCACAGGAUGCACCGUAGUUUACUACACCGUAUUCUGUGAGUUGCGAACGGGUGAGUAACGCGUAGGUAACCUGCCUGGUAGCGGGGGAUAACUAUUGGAAACGAUAGCUAAUACCGCAUAAGAACAUUUACUGCAUGGUAGAUGUUUAAAAGGUGCAAAAGCAUCACUACCAGAUGGACCUGCGUUGUAUUAGCUAGUUGGUGAGGUAACGGCUCACCAAGGCAACGAUACAUAGCCGACCUGAGAGGGUGAUCGGCCACACUGGGACUGAGACACGGCCCAGACUCCUACGGGAGGCAGCAGUAGGGAAUCUUCGGCAAUGGGGGGAACCCUGACCGAGCAACGCCGCGUGAGUGAAGAAGGUUUUCGGAUCGUAAAGCUCUGUUGUUAAGGAAGAACGUGUGUGAGAGUGGAAAGUUCACACAGUGACGGUACUUAACCAGAAAGGGACG
This 493-nucleotide ribosomal RNA is filed under the name uncultured bacterium. Its description in RNAcentral is "bacterial SSU rRNA". It matches the Rfam family "Bacterial small subunit ribosomal RNA", at positions 28 to 495 of the family's 1533-position model. The record is from RNAcentral.